Molecule: long non-coding RNA, 2710 nt
Filed under: Homo sapiens (human)
Lineage: Eukaryota; Metazoa; Chordata; Mammalia; Primates; Hominidae
Description: non-protein coding lnc-PRSS54-2:2
Source: RNAcentral
GCAGUCUUUCCGGGCAGGACCCCGCACCCAAAGGCUCACCUGUGGGACCGCGUUGUCAGUCUCGGCGCCUGCGCUCCGCUCCAGGAAGAAAGCGCCAAGGCGAGGCAUGGCGGUCUCCGUGCGCACCGGCAGCUUCUCGUGGGACAUCAGGAUGUCGUCCAAAGAAAGAAAGUUCUCCUCAGGCCCCAGCGCACCCGACUCCACUCGGAAAUAAGCCUCUGACAUGGCGGCCACUUGAGCUUCUCCGCUUCCACUCGCGUGAUUCGGAGGAGCCUCAGGAGUUAGGGGUGUACAAGACGGGGAAGCGGAGACUGGGCAGGAUGGUUGGGGUCAGGAAAGUGGAUUGAAACUCGUUUCCCGCGCCCGGGGACGCAUCAGACAGGAGCAGUCAAUUCGGGCGGUACCGCCCAGGCAGAAGCAAUCGAUCAAGUCUGCAGAUUUAGAGCAGCGGGACACGGCUGGGGAGCGGUAGGUGGGGGCGCCGGAAGUUCUCUUCCCUCCGCUUGCUGCACGGUGUGGGAACGUUACGAAGAAGCUGGAACGCUCGUUGAAGCUCCUGGACCCAUUUGUACUGGAUUGUGUUCAUGUGAUCCUUAACUAUUUAUAUGAAAUUAAAAACACUUUGCAACACUUUUAGGGGUUUAAAAUAAAAGCAUCUUGUGCCCUUCACUCCAGGCCUAAGUCCGACCCUUUCCUACAGUUUUUUUCACUAUGCAACUCCGUUAAUCUUAGUAUUUGAAAGAAAUGUUAAACAAACAAAAACUUCCAGCACUAUCCCCAGCGAGUUAUUAUGGUCUAGAUGAUGAACUAGUGUGUUGUAUUUUGUUAGUAUUUUGGUGGGGGUUGGACGGGGUGGGUAGAGGGGUGGAGCACUAGACUGCACAUGGCUUGCUAAGGUUGUGAGUAUACUUCAGGGUGUCUUAGCUCAUCAUCAACUGACAAUCUCCUUUUGUGGCUCUGAAUUUAAAUCCCUAAAAAUGGAAAUCCAAUUGGUCCAGUUUAUUGAUUGGUCCAGGUACGCCACAAUGGUCAUAGAUCUCCAGCCACCCUGUAGAUGGGGGUGCCUGUGUUGGGUGCGAUCACUAUCCAGUGACCAGGGGAAGGACCAUGGUCGCAUAGUACCAGGUUUGGUGGCUCUCCUCAGCCAGGGCUAUGGGUGGCGGCAUAUUGUUGAGAGAUGCACUACAGAACUUACUUCGUCUAGAGCAUUUCUGGGGCUACUGGAGCCGGGAGUAAAGGGUGUGUGUGAAGGGAGGUGUGUAUUAACCAUGGAUUUUAGUUUCUGUUUUCUGUAUUUUAUGAUGCUUUGACAUCUUGGGGCCUUGGGGACCUGGGGAGGAAUUGCCCCUUUCAGAGUUAGCUAAUUCCUAGAGAUAGCAAACAACUUGCUUGUGAACACCCCUUUCAUUUACAAACCAACCAACCCAAGCCUAUAUCCCCACACCAUCUUUAUCCAUCUCACACACCAAUAUUUUCCCUGCCCCAAGUCACUGUAAUAAACCACCCCAUGGCCAAGUACCAGACAACUAAAAUUCACCUCUAUAUCCCAGAGCUUGCCAACAUUAUUCAAAUUAUUCAAUCCUAAGCUUGUUCAGACUUCCCUUCCCUGCUUCGCCCAUUCCUUCCCACGGCAAUAAAGGCUCUGGGCUUUCUCCUCGCUCUCUCUACCUCCUCAUUGACCCUAAUACUUUCUCGUGUGGCCGUAGGCACAGCCCCUUCUCUUGAGAACUAUAAUAAAAUUUUCAAAGGCAUUGGCCACUAACUCAUUGAUUGUCAUCACCCAGUCACCUUUAUAAAUGAAAUUCUGAGGACAAUGAAAACAAGGUGCAGUGGGGUGGAAAGGAAUGGCCAAACUGUGGAAAAUCUUGGUACCAUUCUAAGGAGUUAGGCCAUUCCAUAGAAAAUGGGAGGAAAAUGUAAGGCAAAUAAUAACAUAAAUCUGGGCUUCAGGAAGAGAAUUCCAGCAGUAGAUAAAGAAGAGAGAGAUUAGAUGCUUGGAAGCUGUUCAGUGGGCAGUAUUUGGCAACCAAUUGGAUAUAGGAAGUGAAGUAUAGUGAGUAGUCAAAAGAUUCAAGUUUUGAACGUGGCUGACCAGGUGGAUGGACAUGUCAUGAAUAGAUACACAGAACACAGGAAUAGGGGCAGCUGGAGGGAAGGGAUGAGUUCAGUUUGGGACACAUGGUGUCCAAGAGCUACUAGACAGGAAGGUCUGCAGCCCAGUGGAGAAAGCAGCCUAGAAGCUUUAGAGAGGAGGCACACUGAGAGGCAGUUAUAUGAAGGUUUUUUCCUUUUUCAUAUUUUAAAUGUUCAGUUUGUGAUACAGUCCAAUGUAAAAAUAAACACAAUCUGCAGUGAUAAUUUAGAAUUUCUCUGAUGACAUGGAAUAUAUGGUACUGGAUGUAGUUUGAGACAGAAAUAUAAUUUGGCUAAUUGAAGGCAAUGUUAUUUACUGCCAAGGAGAGUAAGCUAUUUUUUAUGCUGAUAUAAUUAAGAUAGAUGCAUACUGAUUUAUUGAUGCCAAAGAAAGGCAUUAUUUUUGUACAGAGACCACAAUACUGGCUCCAAACUCAAAUACCACUAUUAUUUUAAUAAUACAGUAACAGGCCAAUGUUUAACAUAAAAUCAGAUUGCCUUGUUUGUCUUACUUAAUGUCUUGGCUCAUCAUGAAACUAUCAUUGUGUAUAUAUUGUUCUAUUUAAACUGUCCUCUC